GAUGAACGCUGGCGGCGUGCCUAAUACAUGCAAGUCGAGCGAACGGACGAGAAGCUUGCUUCUCUGAUGUUAGCGGCGGACGGGUGAGUAACACGUGGAUAACCUACCUAUAAGACUGGGAUAACUUCGGGAAACCGGAGCUAAUACCGGAUAAUAUUUUGAACCGCAUGGUUCAAAAGUGAAAGACGGUCUUGCUGUCACUUAUAGAUGGAUCCGCGCUGCAUUAGCUAGUUGGUAAGGUAACGGCUUACCAAGGCAACGAUGCAUAGCCGACCUGAGAGGGUGAUCGGCCACACUGGAACUGAGACACGGUCCAGACUCCUACGGGAGGCAGCAGUAGGGAAUCUUCCGCAAUGGGCGAAAGCCUGACGGAGCAACGCCGCGUGAGUGAUGAAGGUCUUCGGAUCGUAAAACUCUGUUAUUAGGGAAGAACAUAUGUGUAAGUAACUGUGCACAUCUUGACGGUACCUAAUCAGAAAGCCACGGCUAACUACGUGCCAGCAGCCGCGGUAAUACGUAGGUGGCAAGCGUUAUCCGGAAUUAUUGGGCGUAAAGCGCGCGUAGGCGGUUUUUUAAGUCUGAUGUGAAAGCCCACGGCUCAACCGUGGAGGGUCAUUGGAAACUGGAAAACUUGAGUGCAGAAGAGGAAAGUGGAAUUCCAUGUGUAGCGGUGAAAUGCGCAGAGAUAUGGAGGAACACCAGUGGCGAAGGCGACUUUCUGGUCUGUAACUGACGCUGAUGUGCGAAAGCGUGGGGAUCAAACAGGAUUAGAUACCCUGGUAGUCCACGCCGUAAACGAUGAGUGCUAAGUGUUAGGGGGUUUCCGCCCCUUAGUGCUGCAGCUAACGCAUUAAGCACUCCGCCUGGGGAGUACGACCGCAAGGUUGAAACUCAAAGGAAUUGACGGGGACCCGCACAAGCGGUGGAGCAUGUGGUUUAAUUCGAAGCAACGCGAAGAACCUUACCAAAUCUUGACAUCCUUUGACAACUCUAGAGAUAGAGCCUUCCCCUUCGGGGGACAAAGUGACAGGUGGUGCAUGGUUGUCGUCAGCUCGUGUCGUGAGAUGUUGGGUUAAGUCCCGCAACGAGCGCAACCCUUAAGCUUAGUUGCCAUCAUUAAGUUGGGCACUCUAAGUUGACUGCCGGUGACAAACCGGAGGAAGGUGGGGAUGACGUCAAAUCAUCAUGCCCCUUAUGAUUUGGGCUACACACGUGCUACAAUGGACAAUACAAAGGGCAGCGAAACCGCGAGGUCAAGCAAAUCCCAUAAAGUUGUCCUCAGUUCGGAUUGCAGUCUGCAACUCGACUACAUGAAGCUGGAAUCGCUAGUAAUCGUAGAUCAGCAUGCUACGGUGAAUACGUUCCCGGGUCU
RNAcentral lists this ribosomal RNA (1372 nucleotides) under uncultured bacterium. RNAcentral's name for it is "bacterial SSU rRNA". It matches the Rfam family "Bacterial small subunit ribosomal RNA", at positions 28 to 1381 of the family's 1533-position model. The record is from RNAcentral.